Molecule: ribosomal RNA, 436 nt
Filed under: uncultured bacterium
Lineage: Bacteria
Description: bacterial SSU rRNA
Rfam family: Bacterial small subunit ribosomal RNA
Source: RNAcentral
AACGAACGCUGGCGGCAUGCCUAACACAUGCAAGUCGAACGAACCCUUCGGGGUUAGUGGCGCACGGGUGCGUAACGCGUGGGAACCUGCCCUUAGGUUCGGAAUAACUCAGAGAAAUUUGAGCUAAUACCGGAUAAUGUCUUCGGACCAAAGAUUUAUCGCCUUUGGAUGGGCCCGCGUUGGAUUAGCUAGUUGGUGGGGUAAAGGCCUACCAAGGCGACGAUCCAUAGCUGGUCUGAGAGGAUGAUCAGCUACACUGGGACUGAGACACGGCCCAGACUCCUACGGGAGGCAGCAGUGGGGAAUAUUGGACAAUGGGCGAAAGCCUGAUCCAGCAAUGCCGCGUGAGUGAUGAAGGCCUUAGGGUUGUAAAGCUCUUUUACUGGGGAUGAUAAUGACAGUACCCAGAGAAUAAGCUCCGGCUAAACUCCGUGCC